UUAUAUUAUUUUGCCUUGAUUUGUGUUGCAGCUCUGGGAACAUCUCGCCAUUAAAUUACAUGAGGAACAACAGAUACUGCAAAAGCGAGAAGAAGGUGGGGGAGGCUGUCAAGGUGACCUGCUAGAUGGACUGGACCACAUACCUGAUUACCUACAAGAAGACAACCUCACCUUUGCAGUCUAUGACCAAGUUAGAAAAUACUUGGGUCAGGCAUUCGUGAGUCGCGUACAUCCAAUGGGCCAGUUGCUGCAGGCAUUGGCUGAUGCGUUCAGGGCCAGCUAUGGUGGCGUGGCAGCACAUCCGAGGCUGCUUUCAUAUGCUGUGCAGGAGAUCCAUUCGCUUACUCAGAGAGUCUAUCAGCUGGUGAAAGCACUCUU
This is a long non-coding RNA of Penaeus monodon (black tiger shrimp), 378 nucleotides long. RefSeq lists it as uncharacterized. The record is from RefSeq and is a predicted model, not a curated record. NCBI's taxonomy places the organism in Eukaryota, Metazoa, Arthropoda, Malacostraca, Decapoda, Penaeidae. The transcript has 3 exons.